AGUGAACGCUGGCGGUAGGCCUAACACAUGCAAGUCGAACGGCAGCACAGUAAGAGCUUGCUCUUACGGGUGGCGAGUGGCGGACGGGUGAGGAAUACAUCGGAAUCUACUUUUUCGUGGGGGAUAACGUAGGGAAACUUACGCUAAUACCGCAUACGACCUACGGGUGAAAGCAGGGGAUCUUCGGACCUUGCGCGAUUGAAUGAGCCGAUGUCGGAUUAGCUAGUUGGCGGGGUAAAGGCCCACCAAGGCGACGAUCCGUAGCUGGUCUGAGAGGAUGAUAGGGCAGACUGGAACGUAGACACGGUACAGACUCAGACGGGGAGCAGCAGUAGGGGAUCGGCUGCAAUGGGCGGAAGCCUGACGGAGCAACGGCGCUGGAGUGAGAAAGGUCUGCGGAUCGGAAAACUCUGUUAUUAGGGAAGAAAAAAAGUGGAAGUGACUAUGCACGUCUGGACGGGACCGAACCAGAAAGAAACGGCUAAAUAAGUG
RNAcentral lists this ribosomal RNA (492 nucleotides) under uncultured bacterium. RNAcentral describes it as "partial 16S ribosomal RNA". It matches the Rfam family "Bacterial small subunit ribosomal RNA", at positions 30 to 507 of the family's 1533-position model. The record is from RNAcentral.